UUGGAGGGCAAGUCUGGUGCCAGCAGCCGCGGUAAUUCCAGCUCCAAUAACGUAUAUUAAAGUUGUUGCAGUUAAGAAGCUCGUAGUUGAAUUUCGGGGUUAGUAGGUUGGUCAUGCCUCUGGUAUGUACUGGUCUCACUGAUUCCUCCUUCCUGAUGAGCCGUAAUGCCAUUAAUUUGGUGUUGCGGGGAAUUUGGACUGUUACUUUGAAAAAAUUAGAGUGUUUAAAGCAAGCUAACGCUUGAAUACAUUAGCAUGGAAUAAUGAAAUAGGACGUUCGAUCCUAUUUUGUUGGUUUCUAGGAUUGACGUAAUGAUUAAUAGGGAUAGUUGGGGGCAUUAGUAUUCAAUUGUCAGAGGUGAAAUUCUUGGAUUUAUUGAAGACUAACUACUGCGAAAGCAUUUGCCAAGGAUGUUUUCAUUAAUCAAGAACGAAAGUUAGGGGAUCGAAGACGAUCAGAUACCGUCGUAGUCUUAACCAUAAACUAUGCCGACUAGGGAUCGGAUGAUGUUAAUUUUUUAAUGACUCAUUCGGCGCCUUACGGGAAAC
This 549-nucleotide ribosomal RNA is filed under the name uncultured Glomeromycotina. RNAcentral describes it as "SSU rRNA". It matches the Rfam family "Eukaryotic small subunit ribosomal RNA", at positions 548 to 1098 of the family's 1831-position model. Lineage: Eukaryota; Fungi; Glomeromycota. The record is from RNAcentral.